RNAcentral lists this ribosomal RNA (600 nucleotides) under uncultured bacterium. RNAcentral's name for it is "bacterial SSU rRNA". It matches the Rfam family "Bacterial small subunit ribosomal RNA", at positions 338 to 950 of the family's 1533-position model. The record is from RNAcentral.
CCUACGGGAGGCAGCAGUGGGGAAUAUUGGGCAAUGGAGGAAACUCUGACCCAGCGACGCCGCGUGCGGGAUGAAGGCCUUCGGGUUGUAAACCGCUUUCAGUAGGGAAGAAGCGAAAGUGACGGUACCUACAGAAGAAGCACCGGCUAACUAUGUGCCAGCAGCCGCGGUAAUACAUAGGGUGCAAGCGUUGUCCGGAAUUAUUGGGCGUAAAGAGCUCGUAGGUGGUUCGUCACGUCGGAUGUGAAAAUCUGGGGCUCAACCCCAGACCUGCAUUCGAUACGGGCGAUCUAGAGUGUGGUAGGGGAGACUGGAAUUCCUGGUGUAGCGGUGGAAUGCGCAGAUAUCAGGAGGAACACCAAUGGCGAAGGCAGGUCUCUGGGCCAUUACUGACACUGAGGAGCGAAAGCGUGGGGAGCGAACAGGAUUAGAUACCCUGGUAGUCCACGCCGUAAACGGUGGGCACUAGUUGUGGGAACCUUCCACGGUUUCUGCGACGCAGCUAACGCAUUAAGUGCCCCGCCUGGGGAGUACAAUCGCAAGAUAAAACUCAAAUGAAUUGACCGGNGNGAGAGUGCGAGACGACGACGAGGGAGUAGG